CUCAGUUGGUAGAGCGGAGGACUG
This 24-nucleotide non-coding RNA is filed under the name Cricetulus griseus (Chinese hamster). The record is from RNAcentral. Lineage: Eukaryota; Metazoa; Chordata; Mammalia; Rodentia; Cricetidae.